GGGUCUGCCAUCCUAGAGAUAGGACGUCCCCUUCGGGGGCAGAGUGACAGGUGGUGCAUGGUUGUCGUCAGCUCGUGUCGUGAGAUGUUGGGUUAAGUCCCGCAACGAGCGCAACCCUUGAUCUUAGUUGCCAGCAUUCAGUUGGGCACUCUAAGGUGACUGCCGGUGACAAACCGGAGGAAGGUGGGGAUGACGUCAAAUCAUCAUGCCCCUUAUGACCUGGGCUACACACGUGCUACAAUGGACAGAACAAAGGGCAGCGAAACCGCGAGGUUAAGCCAAUCCCACAAAUCUGUUCUCAGUUCGGAUCGCAGUCUGCAACUCGACUGCGUGAAGCUGGAAUCGCUAGUAAUCGCGGAUCAGCAUGCCGCGGUGAAUACGUUCCCGGGUCUUGUACACACCG
RNAcentral lists this ribosomal RNA (403 nucleotides) under uncultured Bacillus sp. Its description in RNAcentral is "bacterial SSU rRNA". It matches the Rfam family "Bacterial small subunit ribosomal RNA", at positions 988 to 1392 of the family's 1533-position model. Lineage: Bacteria; Bacillati; Bacillota; Bacilli; Caryophanales; Bacillaceae. The record is from RNAcentral.